Molecule: ribosomal RNA, 1305 nt
Filed under: Micromonospora craterilacus
Lineage: Bacteria; Bacillati; Actinomycetota; Actinomycetes; Micromonosporales; Micromonosporaceae
Description: bacterial LSU rRNA
Rfam family: Bacterial large subunit ribosomal RNA
Source: RNAcentral
CGAGCAUCUUUGUGGUCAAGUUGUCAAGGGCGAACGGUGGAUGCCUUGGCACCAGGAGCCGAUGAAGGACGUGGGAGGCCGCGAUAGGCCUGGGGGAGCUGUCAACCAAGCUGUGAUCCCAGGGUGUCCGAAUGGGGUAACCCGGCAUCAGUCAUGUGAUGUCACCCGCACCUGAACUCAUAGGGUGUGUGGAGGGAACGCGGGGAAGUGAAACAUCUCAGUACCCGUAGGAAGAGAAAACAAAUAGUGAUUCCGUGAGUAGUGGCGAGCGAAAGCGGAUCGAGGCUAAACCGGUUGCGUGUGAUACCUGUCAGGGGUUGCGUGGUCGGGGUUGUGGGACCCUGCUCGACAGGCUGACACCUGUUGGAGAAGUUACAAAGCCAGUUGUUAGCUGAAUGGUCUGGAAAGGCCGACCGUAGACGGUGAUAGUCCGGUAGGUGAAAGCAGCUGGUCUUCUGUGGGUGUUCCCGAGUAGCGGCGGACUCCUGAAAUCUGCCGUGAAUCUGCCAGGACCACCUGGUAAGCCUAAAUACUUCCUGGUGACCGAUAGCGGACGAGUACCGUGAGGGAAUGGUGAAAAGUACCCCGGGAGGGGAGUGAAAUAGUACCUGAAACCGUUCGCCUACAAUCCGUCGGAGCCUUUAGGGGUGACGGCGUGCCUUUUGAAGAAUGAGCCUGCGAGUUAGUGGCAUGUGGCGAGGUUAACCCGUGUGGGGGAGCCGUAGCGAAAGCGAGUCUGAAGAGGGCGUUUGAGUCGCAUGUUCUAGACCCGAAGCGGAGUGAUCUAGCCAUGGGCAGGCUGAAGCGCGGGUAAGACCGCGUGGAGGGCCGAACCCACCAACGUUGAAAAGUUGGGGGAUGACCUGUGGUUAGGGGUGAAAGGCCAAUCAAACUCCGUGAUAGCUGGUUCUCCCCGAAAUGCAUUUAGGUGCAGCGUCGCGUGUUUCUUGCCGGAGGUAGAGCACUGGAUGGUCUAGGGGGCCCACAAGCUUACCGAAAUCAGCCAAACUCCGAAUGCCGGUAAGUGAGAGCGCGGCAGUGAGACUGCGGGGGAUAAGCUUCGUAGUCGAGAGGGAAACAGCCCAGAUCACCAGCUAAGGCCCCUAAGCGUGUGCUAAGUGGAAAAGGAUGUGGGGUCGCAUAGACAACCAGGAGGUUGGCUUAGAAGCAGCCACCCUUUAAAGAGUGCGUAAUAGCUCACUGGUCAAGUGGUUCCGCGCCGACAAUGUAGCGGGGCUCAAGUACACCGCCGAAGCUGUGGCACUCACACGUGUGCUUCGCAUCGUCUUUCGGGAUGGUGUGCAG